This 531-nucleotide long non-coding RNA is filed under the name Lathyrus oleraceus (garden pea). RNAcentral's name for it is "Pisum sativum (pea) long non-coding RNA (PSAT_LNC040534)". Lineage: Eukaryota; Viridiplantae; Streptophyta; Magnoliopsida; Fabales; Fabaceae. The record is from RNAcentral.
AAUGUUGUUGUUAAACGUAUGAAAUAUGAUUGAAUUGUGUAAAUUAUAAAAAUGUUGCUAUUAAACCCAUGGAAUUUGAUUGAAUUGUGUCAAUGAUGAAAAUGUUGCUGUUAAACCCAAGAAAUUUGAUUGAAUUGUGAAAUUGAUGAAAAAGUUGUUGUUAAACUCAUGAAAAUUGAUUAAAUUAUGCGCAUGAUGAAAUUGUUGUUGUUAAACCCUUGGAAAUUGAUUGAAUUGCGGGAAUGAUGAAAAUGUUAUUGUUAAACCCAUGAUAUUUGAUUGAAUUUUUGGAAUGAUAAAAAUGUUGCUGUUAAACUCAUGAAAUUUGAUUGAAUUGUGGGAAUGAUGAAAAUGUUAUUGUUAAACCCGUGAAAAUUGAUUGAAUAAAUGAUGAAAAUGAUGCUGUUAAACUCAUGAAAUUUGAUUGAAUUGUGGGAAUGAUGAAAAUGUUAUUGUUAAACCCGUGAAAAUUGAUUGAAUUGUGGGAAUGAUAAAAUUGUUGCUCUUAAAACCUUUAAAAUUUGAUUGAAU